GUGAGCCGUGUAAUAGGCAACCAUUUCGCGCGGUUCGAGGGGCACUUGAAUAAGCUGCCGGCACCCGGCUACGUCUUUACCCCUAU
Molecule: non-coding RNA, 86 nt
Organism: Triticum aestivum (bread wheat)
Lineage: Eukaryota; Viridiplantae; Streptophyta; Magnoliopsida; Poales; Poaceae
Source: Rfam